RNAcentral lists this ribosomal RNA (117 nucleotides) under Bacillus velezensis. The record is from RNAcentral. Lineage: Bacteria; Bacillati; Bacillota; Bacilli; Caryophanales; Bacillaceae.
CCUGUUAAUUCAAAGUUUUGAGGUCACACCCGUUCCCAUGCCGAACACGGAAGUUAAGCUCUUCAGCGCCGAUGGUAGUCGGGGGUUUCCCCCUGUGAGAGUAGGACGCCGCCAAGC